UCAACCCCAGAAACCCAACCAGCUUCAGCUGCAACAUCAACUAAACUAACUGCAGCCCAAGCGGAAGUGGAGUUUGCCAAAUGUGAUUGCUGUGGUCUAACCGAAGAGUGCACCCCAGCUUACAUUGAAAGAGUACGGGAGAGAUACCAUGGCAAAUGGAUUUGUGGGCUAUGUGCGGAAGCUGUAAAAGAUGAGAUUGUG
Molecule: unclassified non-coding RNA, 201 nt
Filed under: Hevea brasiliensis (rubber tree)
Lineage: Eukaryota; Viridiplantae; Streptophyta; Magnoliopsida; Malpighiales; Euphorbiaceae
Source: RNAcentral